Molecule: long non-coding RNA, 8304 nt
Filed under: Xyrichtys novacula (pearly razorfish)
Lineage: Eukaryota; Metazoa; Chordata; Actinopteri; Labriformes; Labridae
Source: RNAcentral
CUUGAGGAGUAGAUUAGCGGUUUGAGAACAUUCAGUCACUGAGGGAUGUUUGAUUCCUGCACUGCAGCCAUCUUCCUGUCAAUAUAAUUCCAGAAAUACCGAGAGCAAUUCGGCUCCAAAUUCGUAUAACGACGGAAGGCAGAGCCAAGUUGUCCACAGUAUAUACAGCCUAUGAUUAGGACUGAUAUGCCCAAAUAAUGUGAGUGGGGAUCCAUUUUUUUAUUGGAGCACUGCUACACUCCACUCUGAUGGAUGCAGAGUGUCCCCUGUUAUUUGUUCUGUAAUGUCAUGACAUUGAUAGAUUGAUGGUACGACCACGACAGACUGAAAAAGAAACAUUACGGAGGAAUAGCGGACAGUUUAAAGCAUCCAGGUGUCAUCUAGCUCCUCCUUUCAACUACACUGGGAAACUUAUUGUGACCGGACGAGUACCAACCUGUGGAUAGUUGUGCAUAUCAGUAAAGUCACUACACGAUUUAUUUAUUUAUUCAUUUGGCUCUGUAUACACCAAAUCUGACACAUCCUGAUGGACCGCAAGAUCUUGUGUUGCUGCCUCAGUAUCACGGGCCAAAGAAAGAAUCAUGGUUUAAGGCCAUUCAGUAUAGACUUUGUUUAAGAAGCAAGCAGGAAAAAAAAUUCUGAAGUACAUUUCAAGCUCCCUGAUCAAUAGUUUUCUGUCUGAAACUAUACUUGUGUACUCGCCUGUCAUGCACUCACAUGUUUAGAGCUCUGUAAACACAUGUUUUUGCCGUGUAAAUGAACCCUAAGAAUGAAAAAGAAAAAAACGAGACAGCAUAUUCUAAUGCAAUAUUUGUUUGACUUUAAGCUUGAUGAUGCCUGUUAAAGCGACAGAGGAGAUAACAGAUUUUUAUUGAAGCAUAUUUACCUGAAGCUUUAUGCUUUUGUUGGUGUUUUAUCGACUGCUCCGUCCACAUUGACUUUGUGUUUCAGGGUUUUGUUUACAUUUCAUGGGUCUCACAGAUGGCAGUAUUUGUUUAAGUCUGACAUGUUGGAGCUGCUGCAGACAGAUUCUUCACAGUCUUUUUUAAUACUAUAGAAAUAAAGUGAUUAAGUUGGUCUCGGCAGAGUUGAUAAUCGCAGAAAUGGCAUGCUUGCAGCAAAAACAAAUAGGGCACAUCAUCAGACAUGCUGCAGUAAGUUUAAUUAUUACCACCAGCAUUUGUAAAAACAUGUUUUAGCACACAUACAUGCUCUCUAAUUCUGUUUUUUCAUGAAUAGCACUCCAAAUGUGGAAACCUUUCACCCGACUGUGACGGCUUUGUCCUGCCUGCUAACGCUGUAGCCAAACUUUUCAUUAGUAGUUUCCUUUUCCUCCUAUUGUUAACCACAUUUGUGCUUUUUUGAAUGCUGUAGAUAAAAGCUGCAGCUGAAUUCUCACAGAGGUAAUAAGAGCAAGGUUGUGACGUAAAGUAAAGAGUAUGAUUUAACGAUGUUGGUACUUGGAUCUCAGGAUUGAUUCAAAGUUUUUGGUUCUGGGACAUUUGAUUCUUUUUCAGCAACAGUUGUUUCAGCUGAAGUGAUAAAUACUUGUGGGUUUUUUAGCUCAUUUUUUAUCCACUCUUGUUAUAAAGGGAGUAGAAACUGGCCUUGAAUGCAUCAUUACUCUCUGUGCGUGACUCAUCCAAACCGUUUACACAUUCAGUGUCCCUAUUUUCCCCUAAUAGGACUUUUCCAAAGAAACCCUGUAAGCCUUGCAUUGUUCUGAGUGUCUCUCUUUAGGGCUUCAAUUUUCCCCCUGUGCACCUUUACUGUUUUAUUAUAAUGGACCAUUUGUAAACUGACAGUAAAGGGAAAGACUGUGUGAUGUCACUUUAGAUUCGCAAGGACAGAAAACAAAGAUAUAGACGAUCAAUUAUUCCACAUAUAAAAAAAAUUCAAGCAUGAAAAUAAUAGUGUGAUACUCAUUUCAACAAAGCAGCAGGGUCGGUGUUUUGGAGUUAUCAAUAAAGUACACGGCGUGGAAAUCGGUGAAGAAAUGAGCAAGAGAUUUAAUUUACAUGUACGUCUAAUAUCUUUGAUGGGAACGUAGCCCUCACCAAGAUAGAUGCCAUGUAGGCAAGUCACCAAGUGGGCUGCAACAGUGCGCUAACGUAUCUAGUCAUAUAUAUUUGUGCUAACAAGAGCCUCUCGCUCAGUCGCUCCAAGUCACAACUUGCGGGUCACAACAGACAAGUGAAUGAAACUUGAAGUACAAGGUAUCAAUGCAUGUAUUUUUUAUCUUCGAUUUCCAUUUGAAGCCACGUCACAGAAAGUCAAAUACUGAGUUGUUUUUUUGUUCUCUGAUUUUUAUGAUCAAAUUGAAAAACAGAAAACAGUUUGUUUUCCGUUUUUCAAUUUCCUACUGAUCAUUGGGAGACGGCUCGUUUUGAAAUUUUCAUUUUUUCAUAAAAAAGUGAAAACCUGUUGGCCGCUAAGUAGUUUUUUACAAACUUGUUUUAUGCUUAUCAGGGUCACAAUUUGGCCAAUCAUAAGCCAUAUAAGAGGAUAAGACGACAUGACCACACCUUGAAAGUGAAGCCAGAACAUUUGGAGCUCCCUCUACUGGCAGGUGGCAGCUUUCUUCAUAUUUAAUAACAGCUGAGCCACAAAAGCACAUCAAAUUAAUUUCACCUGAAUAUUUAACUCUUUGAUGUUAAUCGAGGGGAUGUGGUUAACUGAUAUUAGUUUUUUUUUAAUGGCUGAUGCCGACAGUGAGAGAAAACUGUGGUUGCAUUUGCCAAACACAUAAGAAAGUCUGUUGUCUGAGAGAAGCUUGAACAAUCAGAGGUUCAUUCUUUCCCAUCGAGCUUAAUGACCACUGAGAAGUAUUUGGCUUCAGCGCUCAAGGUCAGCAAAGAUUGUUGUCUGAGAAAGUCUGGCUGAGGCUCCUGAGUCUGCGGUCGUCAGCUCUCCAACAUCUUAUCAGAUAACUAUGCAUCUGAUUCCUGCUACGGUGUAAUUUCACAUUUUGAAAACAUUAGAUACAUGUGGUGAGUUUAAGCCUCACUCUAACAGUGUGUUAUUGUGUAUCAUGGUACUUAUUGCAGCUGUUGUAGUAUUUGUAUGUUUUUGUGGCCACAAGUUAUUUCAGGUGAACAUUAAUUUCCUUUUGAGACAUGCAGCAGACAAAGAGCAACAUUAGUCACUUCUUGGGUUAGCAUUCCUGUGAUUAUCUCCAGGAAAUCUGCUGUAGUCACUUAAUGCUUGUUGAUGAAAUUAUGUGGCUCUAAAGAAACAGACUUUUAUUUUUUAAAUUAUAAACAUAAAAUUUAACAAUAAAGCACAUAAUGCUCACCAUUGUCUCUAUUUAGUCAUCAAUAAUUAGCAGGUAAACGAGCAUUUGUCAUCACCUUUUUUGACACUGGUAUCAUCAAAGCAUAGAUCCAGUGUUGCCAACCCAGCUUUAGCAACUUUUCAGACCCCCCUAGCAACUUAUUUUUCAAAAAGCACCUAGCAACAAAUCUAGCGACUUUUUCUGGAGUUUAGAGACUCUAACAUGAAAGCAGGUAUCAAUGUUAAUCUUCUCAACGGGUAGACGGUGUGCACCCCGGACAGUGGCGGUCAGUGGCAGUGGUAGGUUUGACUGAGGAAAUUAUGCAAAUUAGGCAAUGAUGUCACCUAGCGACUUUAAUGACAGCCACUAGCAACUUUCCUUACUGAGGAGUUAGCAACACUGCGUAGAUCAUAUUUUUAAAACCAAAAACUCUGCACACCCUGAAAAGACCCACAUUAUGUUUACUACUAAAAAAAGUUAACUGUUUUUUUUUGGGAUAGAAUAAAUAGUAAAGAGUAAGAAGCACUUGUGCCUGAGCAGGUGCAUCAUGGGAGUGAAGUAACGAGAGAUGGAAAUCAAACUGUACACACAUCUAUACACACACGCACACACACACACACACAGUUUUUAGAGGAGGCCAAAUCAGACGUUUACGAUCAGUGAUAAGAGCCGUCCUGAGUGUGUGAGGGAGGAUACCCGUAUAUUUGUGUGUGUGCGUGUGUGUGUGUGUGUUGGAUUUGUCUCCUGUUACAUCUGGUUUUAAUGAGGGGAUUCCACCGCUGUGCCAGGCAGAGCAGAAGAGAGCAAGAACACGCACACACACACAAACACACACACACACACACACACACACACACACACACACACACACACACACACAGAAGAGACUCUUAACUCAUGACAUGGAACAGCGCUCUUAUUCUGAAGAGGUGCACAGUGUGUGUGUGUGUGUGUGUGUGUGUGUGUGUGUGUGUGUGUGUGUGUGAGGAGGAGAGGGGGGUUACGCUGACAUACCGCUGUCUCUCCUAAACUAACACAGAUUAACUUACUGACCCUCCUCUAUAUACAAUCUUGACCUUUUUGACAUCAUUGAAGAAGAAUUACCACCUCAUUAUUGUGCACCUCUGUCAACCUCCAUCAGUUUGCAGUGAACUUCUAUCUCUGUUUCCUUACAGUCAACCGUGGUGAUAGGGGGGAUAUACAGUACACAUGUAGUAUAUAGUAUUACCAAUAAUAAAGUCUUAAAGCCUGGAAGUUUCACUAGAUUAUGUCAUAUGUCAUACUCCCAAAGACCCAACAUCAACAUGGGAUAAGAUUGAGCCCCAUCUUGUAAAAUCAAACCAACUUAACAAGCUACAGUUGAGAGGGAAAACUUUAACAGGAAGAAAACUUGAGCAGAACCAGACUCAUCUGCAAAUUGGGGUGGUGCUGGUCUAGUGGUCUACGCACAUGCUCCAUUCGAAGAGAUUAUGUCGGCUUGGGGUCAACGACUGAAUCACGGCAACUGCAGUGGCAUGGAUUAACAGCACUUUAAGACAGAUGUAGAGAUGUUGCUGCAGGACGAAUCAUUCUUCAUGGCUAAUACUCUGUUUCCAGAGCUCAGCUAGAAGUACUGCAAACCACAAGGCUAACAGAAAGUUGUAGCUAACUCAAGCCGAAUGUUGUAUCAGUGGGUUUAGCAUAGCUAGCUGUUGAUAUUUCAUUAUAAAACUUGUGUUGAUUUAGGUGUUAUCAUGUUGUGCCUUUGCACAGCAGUGUGGCUCACAUGUACCCUCCACUCUUUCAUUAGAAGUUCAGAGCUUUGAUUUUUCUUCUGCAUGUUUUCUGUGUUUGCACAUGUCUCGUGUGAAAUCAGCUGUCUUGUCUUUUAUUUUAUUUUUUUUUAAUUACCAUUUUGAUAUAUUUAGGGUGACUAUACAUCCUUCUUUACCUGGACAUGUCCUCUUUUUUGGGGGGCUGUCAAGCCUUGUUUGGGGGGCGUUUAUAAAAUCCUUCAAAUGUCCGGGGUUUUGUAUGAAAGUUUUGAGUUUGUGUAGCGCGGACUAACUGAGUUGGAGGUGCGUAAAAAACACUUCACCCGACCUGAAAAACCCUCAAAAUUUGCUAUGCGCGACUCUGCUCCCUGAAGUCGUGUCCUCUUUUUGGGGAUUCAGAAUAUGGUCACCCUAGAUUUAUUUGCAGCACAUUUUUGCUGUUGCAUUUGUUUUGGACUUUUGCACCUGUUUGUGAAUUUGUAUCGUCUUCCUCAGCCUGUCAGCUAGCACAAAUAAAAGGGUUUAGAUGGUGAUUUCUCUCAGAAGGUUAGUCUAAGAGUAGUUUUGGUACUAAGUAUGCGGAUGAUUUCAGAGAUUUGCACAACACCCUGUAAGCGCUCAAUCACAUUUGAAACCUGUCAAAUUAUUUCCUUUUUAAAAUCUCAUGCCAAAAUCUCCUCCCUGUGCGUGUUUAUCUGUCUCUGCCAAACAGAGAUUCCCAAAAUGAUGAUUAAGUUUCCAUGGUUACAUACCAUCGUCUACGCAUGAAACAUGUCUCCACUGAAUCUAAUCAGUCACUGGAGUCAGUUUUCCUUUCAGAGGAAACGUUUCAUUCCUCAUUCACACUCCCCUACAUCUACAUUUAAUCCCAUUUUCUCUCCACCCUAUUCAUUCUCAUUAACCUUUCCACACACACUCACUCCUCCUUCCACCACUCAUCAUUGCUCCCAUACAGUAUAAAAUAAAUAAAUGUCCUCUCCUGUACAGCAGCCAGAUAAGAAGUCCUCCCCAGAGUUUUGGCAAGCACCAGGAGCAGAGUUUAAGAGCCUGUAAAUGUCCGAGGCAGGAAUGUGAGGCUGCCUUGUAUGGUCAAGAGAAUUGACUGCUGGAUCUUUUUUUAUACUCAUUUAAGUCUUUCUUUUUUUCUUAGAGGAUCUAGGCCGGCUUUGAUAGUCUCGAACAGAAAGAGGAUGAAGCAGGGAGGAGGAGGAGUAGGUGAAGAUAAAGAGGGUUCCCCACUCUCACAAAUGAGAUGUGGAAGUAUAUCCGCCUUCAUUUUUAUGACAUGAAUACUGUGAUUCAGUUCUCAAGUCUCAAAGAUCAAUCCAAGGACAUGUUUUUUGGUCCUAUCUGGAGUCAGGUCAAAGUGGCAGUCGGUAAUCCAGGCGCCUCUUUCCCCAGCGACAUUCUUCUAGCUCCUCUUGGGGGAUCCUGAAGUGUUCCCAGGCCUGAUGAGAUAUAGGAUUUAGUUCCUUGAGUGUAGCUUUGGUUCAUCCCUGGGAUCUGCACUCAGCUAGAUGUCCCCUGAAAACCUCAGAGGAGAGGCAUCCCAAUCAGAUGCCAUGACCGACUCAACUGGCUUGACAUUACUCAGAGGGACCUCCAGAUGUUCAAGUCCUUACCCUUUAUCCAAGACUGAGCCCAGCUGGUCGCUACUUAAAAGCUAGUGACCAAAGGUGGCGUAGAGUUUAAGCUUUGCACAUUUAUAAGCGAAAGCAAGCCGUGACUCAGCAUUUUUGCUGUCAUUGUGCUUCAUGAGACUUCUUCAGAAACCAAUGGUGACAUCAUGGCUUCAUCGUCGACUGUAAACCCCCCUAUACCACCAGCGAAGAUCACCAUAUUGGUAAUGCUGACUCAACCAGAACCAGGUCUAACGCCUUCUCACAAAUGACUACCUGCCUGUCAUUUCACUGUAAGAUGACGAGUUUCCCUCCUUAAACUGACGUGAUGAGAAGAUGGGAUUAUGGUCAACUGGAGACCUUCAAGUCCACAAAACAAAUGUAGACUGGAAAGAAGACUAUUAUGACCUCUACAGCAGUUCUAAGAGGAAAACACCAGGAGAGGAUCUGCCUUGUUCCUCCUGUAUUAGAAUACCCAAAUCGGGAUCAGGGUAUAGGACCUCUGUUAAAUUUAAGUGAGAGUCAAACACACUGUAACUCAGAGUUAGACAACCCCUCGAGAGAUGAAUGUUGCUGACCGCUUGCUUCUUCAGUUAUACCAACUUUAGUAACGACCACACAAUAGCAAUACACAGCAGUCUACAUCUCCACGCACAAACCUCAACCAAAAAGCCACUCUAUAGCCACAAAUAAUGCUCAGAACAGCACCUAACUUCAUCAACAGGACAAAUAGGGUCCUAGCCACAGUACUAGCCAUCAAAUAUCUUUUUAGCUUUGCCUGAUUUCUUUAGCAAAGAGACCAAACACAACUCACCCACUCUCUUCCAGCAGCCGCUUGUUUGUGGGGGUAGCCCUGACGAGUUGAUCACUGAGUGCAGCGGAGUUUCGCAGCUCAAGAAAGAACAUUUCCAUGAAGUAAUAAUCAUCAUAAUAAUUAUUUUGCACUGCAGACUUGGUAGUUCUUCUGCCUUAGCGUCUCAGUCUGAUUGCAUUUCCAUGAAGUAAUGAUCACUCGGUGAUCGACUCGUCAGGGCUCCCCCACAGACAAGCGGCUGUUCUGAGACUUAUUUGUGGCUUUUUGGUUGAGGUUUGUGUGAGACGUAGGCUACUGUUUAUUGCUAUUGUGUGUUCGUGGCUGAAGUUGGUAUAACUAGAGAAGCAAGCGGUUGGCAACAUUCAUCUCUCGAGGGGUUGUCUAACUCUGUGUUACAGUGUGUUUGACCAUAACUUAAUUUUACACCGGAAUAUCCCUUUUAAAGCUGCUAUGUUGGUUAAGUUACAGGUGAAACUUGUUGGCUACAGAAAUAACACUGAAGUGAAACACAAAAGCAGAAAAACAAAUGGGUGACAGUCUCUGGUUUAGACUCAGAUAAACAGAUUCAAUCAGAAUAAUGUUAGAUACAGACUUCAGUUACAGAAACACCUGCACAGACUUUGACUCUUUCUCGUCUGUUUUCUGAAGCAAAGUCUCCACAUGCUUCUCAGACCCUCCCACAGAUCAGCGAGUAGCUGCUUCUGGUUGGAGGCCAAAGCCUUCAAACCCGGGGUAUGUGCAGUAUGUGUGUGCAGCUCUCUGGGUGGUUAGGAGGGUGUGAUGUUUACAGAUCUGUCCAGGAUCAGCGCUCUCUGACUGUCCUCCCUCUCUGCUUUCACUCCU